UCAAACCUGUCUAAAACGGUCACCUUGGGACAUGCAUUUAGUGGCUGUCUUAUGCAGGUGGCCUUUUUAUAGAAAUGCCUUUAAAUACAGUUUAAAUUAUUUUGUACACAUUUACUGGCCAUAGAAACUAUAUAACAAGACUUAAAGAACUUUUAGGUACCCCUAAAGACCUAAACUGAGUGGUAUAUAGUAUUAUUUCGAAGGUAUUAUUUGAGAUAACAAUUUAACAAAAAUUAAUCAUUAUUAAUGAUGUAAAAAUUAAUUCAAAAUGGGCGUGGUACAAUAGGCGUGGCUAUCUGGCCGCCUGUACACAGUGGUAGUCUUUAUCAGUCUUGAUGGAGAUUAAUUCUGUCGGUGACCGUUAACCAUCUUACAGAGAGACCGCUGGGACAGGUCACCUGAUAGAGAUAGGAAGAAACACUCACGAUCAAGAAGUCGUUGAAGAUCUCAUUCACCAAGAAGAAAUUAUCGUCAAGACGUAAGGAUAGAGUAAGGGAUUAUUCCUAUAGUCCUAGUCCAGAGAGGAGGAGGAGUAGUAAGAAAUCUAAAAAAGACAAGAAGCACAAGAGAAGGUCUCCCUCUGUCUCUCCCUCAGUCUCUCCUCCUCCACGUAAAAAUGUAAACCAACAAGAUCAGAAAAGAAAAUACAAUAUUGGUCUAAGUGUACACUGCUACAUCCUAAACAGGAGGUGGUUCUGAUAAAAAAGGAGAGGAUGAGGGGAUGGAGGAAGAGGAAGAGUUCUCUGAUGGAAGUGCUCCUUCUGAGGAGGAGAGACAAUCAAGUCCUUCAGCAUUAGAAUAGAACCAUUCAUAUUUAUAGCAGUUGUUGUUGAGCAAAAAAGUACAAAAAUGUAAAACAUCUUCUGUGAUUGUAAAUGGUAGACUAUAGUCUACCAUGCAAUUAGUUGUACAUCAGUAGGGCAUUUACUCAUAUUAGUUACUCCUACACAAUCCACCCU
Molecule: long non-coding RNA, 959 nt
Organism: Amphimedon queenslandica
Lineage: Eukaryota; Metazoa; Porifera; Demospongiae; Haplosclerida; Niphatidae
Exons: 5
Source: RefSeq, a predicted model, not a curated record